RNAcentral lists this transfer RNA (96 nucleotides) under Burkholderia oklahomensis. RNAcentral describes it as "tRNA-His(gtg)". Lineage: Bacteria; Pseudomonadati; Pseudomonadota; Betaproteobacteria; Burkholderiales; Burkholderiaceae. The record is from RNAcentral.
GGCUUCAUGGUGUAUUCGGCGUCGCGCUUCCUCGUGACGGACGUCGUCGUCGCGGGGAUUCUCGUGAUCGGCGCGAUCGCGCUCGCGCUGGAGAUC